RNAcentral lists this ribosomal RNA (748 nucleotides) under archaeon SVAL2.54. RNAcentral's name for it is "bacterial SSU rRNA". It matches the Rfam family "Archaeal small subunit ribosomal RNA", at positions 53 to 801 of the family's 1478-position model. The record is from RNAcentral.
GCUAGUUGUACGAGUUCAGACUCGUAGCAGAUAGCUCAGUAACACGUGGCCAAACUACCCUAUGGACCCAGACAACCUCGGGAAACUGAGGCUAAUCUGGGAUACGAUUCUCCCGCUGGAACUGCAGAGAAUCCGAAAUGCCCCGGCGCCAUAGGAUGUGGCUGCGGCCGAUUAGGUAGACGGUGGGGUAACGGCCCACCGUGCCGAUAAUCGGUACGGGUUGUGAGAGCAAGAGCCCGGAGACGGUAUCUGAGACAAGAUACCGGGCCCUACGGGGCGCAGCAGGCGCGAAACCUUUACACUGCACGCCAGUGCGAUAAGGGGACUCCGAGUGCGAGGGCAUAUAGUCCUCGCUUUUCACCACCGUAAGGUGGUGGUGGAAUAAGUGCUGGGCAAGACCGGUGCCAGCCGCCGCGGUAAUACCGGCAGCACGAGUGAUGACCGCUAUUAUUGGGCCUAAAGCGUCCGUAGCUGGCCGCGCAAGUCUAUCGGGAAAUCUGCUCGCCUAACGAGCAGGCGUCCGGUGGAAACUGUGUGGCUUGGGACCGGAAGACCAGAGGGGUACGUCCGGGGUAGGAGUGAAAUCCCGUAAUCCUGGACGGACCACCGGUGGCGAAAGCGCCUCUGGAGGACGGAUCCGACGGUGAGGGACGAAAGCUCGGGUCACGAACCGGAUUAGAUACCCGGGUAGUCCGAGCUGUAAACGAUGUCUGCUAGAUGUGCCACAGGCUACGAGCCUGUGGUGUGU